RNAcentral lists this ribosomal RNA (301 nucleotides) under Pratylenchus zeae. RNAcentral describes it as "eukaryotic LSU rRNA". It matches the Rfam family "Eukaryotic large subunit ribosomal RNA", at positions 666 to 941 of the family's 3401-position model. Lineage: Eukaryota; Metazoa; Nematoda; Chromadorea; Rhabditida; Pratylenchidae. The record is from RNAcentral.
CCAAGGAGUUUAUCGUGUGCGCGAGUCAUUGGGCGUUGAAAACCCAAAGGCGCAAUGAAAGUGAAGUGCCACGCAAGUGGCUGAUGUGCGAUCGGUGUUCCACGGAACACGUGCGCAGCAUGGCCCCAUCCUGGCUGCUUGCAGCGGGGUGGAGGAAGAGCGUGCGCGAUGAGACCCGAAAGAUGGUGAACUAUUCCUGAGCAGGAUGAAGCCAGAGGAAACUCUGGUGGAAGUCCGAAGCGAUUCUGACGUGCAAAUCGAUCGUCUGACUUGGGUAUAGGGGCGAAAGACUAAUCGAACC